UACAGAGGUCUCAAGCGUUGUUCGGAUUCAUUGGGCGUAAAGGGCGCGUAGGCGGGUUGCCGCGUCCGGGGUGAAAUCCCACGGCUCAACCGUGGAACGGCCCCGGAUACGGGCGGCCUAGAGGGGGGUAGGGGCGGGCGGAACUCUGCGUGGAGCGGUGAAAUGCGUUGAUAUGCAGAGGAACUCCGGUGGCGAAGGCGGCCCGCUGGACCCCAUCUGACGCUGAGGCGCGAAAGCCAGGGGAGCGAACGGG
RNAcentral lists this ribosomal RNA (253 nucleotides) under uncultured bacterium. Its description in RNAcentral is "partial 16S ribosomal RNA". It matches the Rfam family "Bacterial small subunit ribosomal RNA", at positions 524 to 776 of the family's 1533-position model. The record is from RNAcentral.